GGCGACGCACACUGGACUGAGACACGGCCAGACUCUACGGGAGGCAGCAGUGGGAAUAUUGCACAAUGGGCGAAAGCUGAUGCAGCGACGCCGCGUGGGGGAUGACGGCUUUCGGGUUGUAAACCUCUUUCAGUAGGGAAGAAGCGAAAGUGACGGUACCUGCAGAAGAAGCGCCGGCUAACUACGUGCCAGCAGCCGCGGUAAUACGUAGGGCGCAAGCGUUGUCCGGAAUUAUUGGGCGUAAAGAGCUCGUAGGUGGCUUGUCGCGUCUGCCGUGAAAACCCGAGGCUCAACCUCGGGCGUGCGGUGGGUACGGGCAGGCUAGAGUGUGGUAGGGGAGACUGGAACUCCUGGUGUAGCGGUGAAAUGCGCAGAUAUCAGGAAGAACACCGAUGGCGAAGGCAGGUCUCUGGGCCAUUACUGACACUGAGGAGCGAAAGCAUGGGUAGCGAACAGGAUUAGAUACCCUGGUAGUCCAUGCCGUAAACGUUGGGCACUAGAUGUGGGGGACAUUCCACGUUUUCCGCGUCGUAGCUAACGCAUUAAGUGCCCCGCCUGGGGAGUACGGCCGCAAGGCUAAAACUCAAAGGAAUUGACGGGGGCCCGCACAAGCGGCGGAGCAUGCUGAUUAAUUCGAUGCAACGCGAAGAACCUUACCAAGGCUUGACAUGCACCGGACGGCCGCAGAGAUGUGGCUUUCUUCGGACUGGUGCACAGGUGGUGCAUGGUUGUCGUCAGCUCGUGUCGUGAGAUGUUGGGUUAAGUCCCGCAACGAGCGCAACCCUUGUUCUAUGUUGCCAGCACGUCAUGGUGGGGACUCAUAGGAGACUGCCGGGGUCAACUCGGAGGAAGGUGGGGACGACGUCAAAUCAUCAUGCCCCUUAUGUCUUGGGCUUCAAGCAUGCUACAAUGGUCGGUACAAUGGGUUGCGAAACUGUGAGGUGGAGCGAAUCCCAAAAAGCCGGCCUCAGUUCGGAUUGGGGUCUGCAACUCGACCCCAUGAAGUCGGAGUCGCUAGUAAUCGCAGAUCAGCACGUGC
This 1039-nucleotide ribosomal RNA is filed under the name uncultured bacterium. Its description in RNAcentral is "bacterial SSU rRNA". It matches the Rfam family "Bacterial small subunit ribosomal RNA", at positions 302 to 1360 of the family's 1533-position model. The record is from RNAcentral.